AUUGAACGCUGGCGGCAUGCCUUACACAUGCAAGUCGAACGGCAGCACGGGUGCUUGCACCUGGUGGCGAGUGGCGAACGGGUGAGUAAUACAUCGGAACAUGUCCUGUAGUGGGGGAUAGCCCGGCGAAAGCCGGAUUAAUACCGCAUACGAUCUACGGCUGAAAGCGGGGGACCUUCGGGCCUCGCGCUAUAGGGUUGGCCGAUGGCUGAUUAGAUAGUUGGAGGGGUAAAGGCCUACCAAGGAGACGAUCAGUAGCUGGUCUGAGAGGACGACCAGCCACCCUGGGGCUGAGACACGGCGCAGACUCGUACGGGAGGCAGCAGUGGGGAAUAUUGGACAAUGGGCGCAAGCCUGAUCCAGCCAUGGCGCGUGAGUGAUUAAGGCCUUAGGGUUGUAAAGCUCUUUUGUCCGGGACGAUAAUGACGGUACCGGAAGAAUAAGCCCCGGCUGACUUCGUG
Molecule: ribosomal RNA, 461 nt
Filed under: uncultured bacterium
Lineage: Bacteria
Description: partial 16S ribosomal RNA
Rfam family: Bacterial small subunit ribosomal RNA
Source: RNAcentral